UACGGAGGGUGCGAGCGUUGUCCGGAAUUACUGGGCGUAAAGCGUGCGCAGGCGGUUUUGUAAGCCAGAUGUGAAAUCCCCGGGCUUAACCUGGGAAUGGCAUUUGGGACUGCAAGGCUUGAGUGUGGCAGAGGGGACUGGAAUUCCUGGUGUAGCAGUGAAAUGCGUAGAGAUCAGGAGGAAUACCGAUGGCGAAGGCAGGUCCCUGGGCUGACACUGACGCUCAUGCACGAAAGCGUGGGGAGCAAACAGG
RNAcentral lists this ribosomal RNA (253 nucleotides) under uncultured bacterium. RNAcentral describes it as "partial 16S ribosomal RNA". It matches the Rfam family "Bacterial small subunit ribosomal RNA", at positions 524 to 776 of the family's 1533-position model. The record is from RNAcentral.